This 366-nucleotide ribosomal RNA is filed under the name uncultured bacterium. RNAcentral's name for it is "partial 16S ribosomal RNA". It matches the Rfam family "Bacterial small subunit ribosomal RNA", at positions 338 to 701 of the family's 1533-position model. The record is from RNAcentral.
CCUACGGGAGGCAGCAGUGAGGAAUAUUGGUCAAUGGGCGCGAGCCUGAACCAGCCAAGUAGCGUGAAGGAUGACUGCCCUACGGGUUGUAAACUUCUUUUAUAAAGGAAUAAAGUGAGGCACGUGUGCCUGUUUGUAUGUACUAUAUGAAUAAGGAGCGGCUAACUCCGUGCCGGCAGCAGCGGUAAUACGGAGGAUCCGAGCGUUAUCCGGAUUUAUUGGGUUUAAAGGGAGCGUAGAGGUGUUCUUAAGUCAGUUGGGAAAGUUGGCGGCUCCACCGUAAAAUUGCAAUUGAUACUGGCAGCCUUGAUUACAGUUGAGGUAGGCGGCAUUCGUGCUGUAGCGGUGCACUGCUUAGAUAUCACG